GGGGAUGUGGCUCAGUGGUAGAGCGCUCACCUACUAUGCGUGAAGCACUGGGUUCGAUUCUCAGCACCA
Molecule: transfer RNA, 69 nt
Filed under: Ictidomys tridecemlineatus (thirteen-lined ground squirrel)
Lineage: Eukaryota; Metazoa; Chordata; Mammalia; Rodentia; Sciuridae
Description: Spermophilus tridecemlineatus (thirteen-lined ground squirrel) tRNA
Rfam family: tRNA
About the family: Transfer RNA (tRNA) molecules are approximately 80 nucleotides in length. Their secondary structure includes four short double-helical elements and three loops (D, anti-codon, and T loops).
Source: Rfam by way of RNAcentral